RNAcentral lists this ribosomal RNA (253 nucleotides) under uncultured bacterium. Its description in RNAcentral is "partial 16S ribosomal RNA". It matches the Rfam family "Bacterial small subunit ribosomal RNA", at positions 524 to 776 of the family's 1533-position model. The record is from RNAcentral.
UACGUAGGUGGCAAGCGUUGUCCGGAUUUACUGGGCGUAAAGAGCGCGCAGGCGGUCGUUCAAGUCGCGUGUGAAAGCCCCCGGCUCAACUGGGGAGGGUCACGCGAUACUGAUCGACUCGAAGGCAGGAGAGGGAAGUGGAAUUCCCGGUGUAGUGGUGAAAUGCGUAGAUAUCGGGAGGAACACCAGUGGCGAAGGCGGCUUUCUGGCCUGUUCUUGACGCUGAGGCGCGAAAGCUAGGGGAGCAAACGGG